CAGCAGCCGCGGUAAUACAUAGGGUGCGAGCGUUAAUCGGAAUUACUGGGCGUAAAGCGUGCGCAGGCGGCUUUGCAAGACAGAGGUGAAAUCCCCGGGCUCAACCUGGGAACUGCCUUUGUGACUGCAAGGCUAGAGUACGGCAGAGGGGGAUGGAAUUCCGCGUGUAGCAGUGAAAUGCGUAGAUAUGCGGAGGAACACCGAUGGCGAAGGCAAUCCCCUGGGCCUGUACUGACGCUCAUGCACGAAAGCGUGGGGAGCAGACAGGAUUAGAUACCCUGGUAGUCCACGCCCUAAACGGUGUCAACUGGUUGUUGGACGGCUUGCUGUUCAGUAACGAAGCUAACGCGUGAAGUUGACCGCCUGGGGAGUACGGCCGCAAGGUUGAAACUCAAAUGAAUUGACGG
This 407-nucleotide ribosomal RNA is filed under the name uncultured rumen bacterium. RNAcentral describes it as "bacterial SSU rRNA". It matches the Rfam family "Bacterial small subunit ribosomal RNA", at positions 509 to 916 of the family's 1533-position model. The record is from RNAcentral.